This 162-nucleotide unclassified non-coding RNA is filed under the name uncultured Phaeomoniellales. Its description in RNAcentral is "sequence contains ITS2". The record is from RNAcentral. Lineage: Eukaryota; Fungi; Ascomycota; Eurotiomycetes; Phaeomoniellales.
UCAACCAUCAAGCUCGGCUUGUUAUUGGGUCCACGUAUCGGUAAAAGAUAGGCCCGAAAGAUAAUGGCGGUGUCGAGAUUUGACCCCAGGUGCAGCGAGCUUGUAAGCAUACACUGAGGUGGUCUUCUCGGCCUGGCCUUGUCAAACCCAUAUUUUCCAAAA